AUUCACUCAGAGCAGACCGAAGACUGUGAGACUUCCUCCCCACAGUGAGCUAAAAGGACGCUUUUGUCAGAGUGGGGAAAUAAAAGGGCUUUAUGGGAAGGAAGAUAAGAACAGAUGAGUCAGAGGUUUCUGCUUAAUGGUGGUACAGCCAAGCAGACAGGCAAGUAAGUGGCCAUACUGCUACUGCCUCAUGUAGGAUCCGGCAGGCUGGUGGGUUAUCAGUCCUCACGUGGGACCCUCCCACCAUGGCAGCUGAGCACAUCCAAGCUGGGGGAUCCUGAAGAGACCUUCACCUGGGUGCCACGUGGAAGAUUGGCCAGCACCAUUUUGACUCCUGUGGAUGGGUGAGUGUUUUGCCCACCCCCACCCCAAUAACAUCAGCACCCAAACUGCACCUGGUCACCUGUCUACAUUCAGAUUUAGAUGAAAGCCACACCAUGGAGGCAGCCAGAGGCCCAUGGGAGAUGUCUGGAUUCGCAGAGGAAUAGCUCCAUGUGAUGCAAACCUUGACUAAUGGGAACAGGAAAAGGGAGGAAACCAGGAAGAUAAAUCUCCCUCCCUUCUCAUUGCUCCUUGCAACCCUUCCCACUUGAAGCAUGACCACAUUUAAUGAACAACCUGCUGUGUCUCUUGGAAGCUUGCUGCAAGGCAGCAAUCAGCACAAUAACAUUGUAUUGUAUCUUCCUCUGCUUCACUUCUCUUC
This 703-nucleotide long non-coding RNA is filed under the name Homo sapiens (human). Its description in RNAcentral is "non-protein coding lnc-KLF17-1:30". Lineage: Eukaryota; Metazoa; Chordata; Mammalia; Primates; Hominidae. The record is from RNAcentral.